Zea mays is the source of this 98-nucleotide non-coding RNA. The record is from Rfam. NCBI's taxonomy places the organism in Eukaryota, Viridiplantae, Streptophyta, Magnoliopsida, Poales, Poaceae.
UGGCUGUGAUGACAAAAAGGUUAUUUGGUUGAUUAUGAUUACUUAAUGCCAUAUAAGGAUCAAAACGUGAUGACCUUAUUUGUGCGUGUCUGAGCCGA